UACGUAGGGGGCAAGCGUUGUCCGGAUUUAUUGGGCGUAAAGAGCGCGCAGGCGGUCGAUCAAGUCGAGUGUGAAAGCCCCCGGCUCAACUGGGGAGGGUCAUUCGAUACUGAUCGACUCGAAGGCAGGAGAGGGUAGUGGAAUUCCCGGUGUAGUGGUGAAAUGCGUAGAUAUCGGGAGGAACACCAGUGGCGAAGGCGACUACCUGGCCUGUUCUUGACGCUGAGGCGCGAAAGCUAGGGGAGCAAACGGG
RNAcentral lists this ribosomal RNA (253 nucleotides) under uncultured bacterium. RNAcentral describes it as "partial 16S ribosomal RNA". It matches the Rfam family "Bacterial small subunit ribosomal RNA", at positions 524 to 776 of the family's 1533-position model. The record is from RNAcentral.